UACGGGGGGGGCAAGCGUUGUUCGGAAUUACUGGGCGUAAAGGGCUCGUAGGCGGCCCACUAAGUCCGACGUGAAAUCCCCAGGCUUAACUUGGGAACUGCGUCGGAUACUGGUGGGCUUGAAUCCGGGAGAGGGAUGCGGAAUUCCAGGUGUAGCGGUGAAAUGCGUAGAUAUCUGGAGGAACACCGGUGGCGAAGGCGGCAUCCUGGACCGGUAUUGACGCUGAGUGAGCGAAAGCCAGGGGAGCAAACGGGG
Molecule: ribosomal RNA, 255 nt
Filed under: uncultured bacterium
Lineage: Bacteria
Description: partial 16S ribosomal RNA
Rfam family: Bacterial small subunit ribosomal RNA
Source: RNAcentral